UGGGCAGAAUUCUUUUCUUCUACAUGCUCUCUUUAUAAGAGAUGAAAGAUUGGUCUGUGUUUGCUCUCAGGUCAGGACUCCACUAUACCAGCAGACUGGCAGAUUCCCAACAGAAAGAUACUCCCCACCUUUGAGAACUUGUGAUCUGAAAGUCAGACAAGAAGCUCUGAACAGAGACACAGGAAAAUUCUGUUUGAAAAAAAAUAUUUUGCCCUUUCAUGUGGAUUCUCUCACCCUUUGCAUGUAUCUUGCCUGUGGAAGGUCUGUCUUCUAAGAGGGAGAAGAAGCUGUGACAAACCUUUCCUGGUGGUAAGUGCAAGUGGUUGUGAUGUGACAGCUGGCAGAAAAUACAGGUGAGAGUGAUUCUUUACACAAACCAGAGUUCAUGUCCAAGCUCCUUCUCAAUCCUGUGUUUUAGUGAUGUGGAUGUGCCUGCUGUGUGAAGUGAGUGCUGACUUUUGGCUGUACUAGUGGUAACAAAGGGUUACAGAAAUGCUGAAACUCAAAAAUACAAACAUAAAUACCAGGCCUCUGGCCCAUCCACUGGG
Molecule: long non-coding RNA, 548 nt
Filed under: Lonchura striata (white-rumped munia)
Lineage: Eukaryota; Metazoa; Chordata; Aves; Passeriformes; Estrildidae
Description: domestica (Bengalese finch) lncRNA (ENSLSDG00000004892.1)
Source: RNAcentral